ACCUGGGUGGCUCAGUCGGUUGAGCGUCUGACUUCGGCUCAGGUCAUGAUCUCGCGGUCUGUGGGUUCGAGCCCCGCAUCAGGCU
RNAcentral lists this transfer RNA (85 nucleotides) under Felis catus (domestic cat). It matches the Rfam family "tRNA". Rfam says of the family: Transfer RNA (tRNA) molecules are approximately 80 nucleotides in length. Lineage: Eukaryota; Metazoa; Chordata; Mammalia; Carnivora; Felidae. The record is from Rfam by way of RNAcentral.